RNAcentral lists this ribosomal RNA (462 nucleotides) under uncultured bacterium. Its description in RNAcentral is "partial 16S ribosomal RNA". It matches the Rfam family "Bacterial small subunit ribosomal RNA", at positions 29 to 523 of the family's 1533-position model. The record is from RNAcentral.
AAUGAACGUUGGCGGCAUGGAUUAGGCAUACAAGUUGGGGGAAUCCCAGCAAUGGGGGAACCGGCGUAAGGGGCAGUAAGGCAUGGGUACCUACCUUGGGGUUCGGGAUAGCCAUCAGAGAUGGUGGGUAAUACCGGAUGACGUCGUGAGACCAAAGAUUUAUCGCCCUUAGAGGGGCCCAUGUGAUAUUAGCUAGUUGGUGGGGUAACGGCCCACCAAGGCGAAGAUGUCUAGCGGGUGUGAGAGCACGACCCGCGCCACUCGCACUGAGACACUGGCGAGACACCUACGGGUGGCUGCAGUCGAGGAUCUUCGGCAAUGAGCGCAAGCUUGACCGAGCGAUGCCGCGUGAGCGAUGAAGGCCUUCGGGUUGUAAAGCUCUUUAGUGGGGGAGAAAAGCCGCAAGGUGUGAUCUAUCCCAAAAAUAAGCACGGGCUAAGUUCGUGCCAGCCGCCGCGGUAA